Molecule: ribosomal RNA, 257 nt
Filed under: uncultured bacterium
Lineage: Bacteria
Description: partial 16S ribosomal RNA
Rfam family: Bacterial small subunit ribosomal RNA
Source: RNAcentral
UACAGAGACCUCAAGCGUUAUCCGGAAUCAUUGGGCGUAAAGCGUACCGAUCGGUGGUUUUACAAGUCAGAGGUGAAAUUCCAAGGCUCAACCUUGGGUCUGUCCUUUGAAACUGUAAAACUAGAGGGACAAAGAGGAAGCUAGAACUAACGGUGUAGGGGUAAUAUCCGUUGAUAUCGUUAGGAAUACCGAUAGCGAAGGCAGGCUUCUGGGUGUCACCUGACACUGCUAGGACGAAAGCGUGGGGAGCAAAAAGG